Molecule: long non-coding RNA, 7403 nt
Organism: Columba livia (rock pigeon)
Lineage: Eukaryota; Metazoa; Chordata; Aves; Columbiformes; Columbidae
Exons: 4
Source: RefSeq, a predicted model, not a curated record
CACACUUAAAUAGUCAUUUUAAUUAUACUGCCCUUAAAACCCCACAGACUAGUCACUGGAGGAUCCUAAGCAAGUCCCUGGCUGAGAGCCACCUAGGAUCUGGGAACAUUCUGCCUUGCAAACAUAGGCACCAAAGCCUGGACCCAGAGACACAUCGUCACAUGAAGCUGAGCUCCUAUGAUUCCGACAACACCCUGCACGUGCUUCACAGUACAAGCUGGGCUAAAAUAGUGGUCCCAGCCCCCACUGAGCUUGCAGUCUGAAGGCAGGAGGAGAACAGCCAUCGUGUCAAGAAAGUGAGAAGGUGCAGCUCAGGUCAGCGUGCUCUUGACUCUCAUGGACUUCAGUUCUCUUUGACAUGGAAUUGUGUAACGUCAUUAAGCUCAGGCACUGAGGGGAAAAAAAAAAAAAAAAGAGUUCUGAAACAUCAAGAGCUAACCAGUCUGAUGUACCUGUCUGCAUUUUGAGUAUCAUGCUCUUUAGAGUCAUGUUUUUCAGCCUUUUUCUUUUUUUUUCCCCUGACAAUUAGAACUUUUCCCUUUUCAUAAUGAGGCCUGAGCUUCUCACACUGUCAUCUGACUGAGGGUUUUAAGCAAAACACUGAACGUCACACUGCUCGCACUGAAGAUGCAAGGCAGUGCUAAAUUAUUAUUUAUAUUACUAUUAUACCCAGAGGCCCUCAACAGACCAAGGUCCCAUAGUCCUUUUCUCAAAGAGAUUACUGAUUAGAUAGAUAAGACAAAGGGGAAGAGAAACAGUCCUAGCCUUGCUUUCCAGAUGGAGAAGCACAGACAGCUGCAGGGGUUUUCAAAACUGCUUCCCAUCAGCUUUCCACGGCCACUGAAUGGGCCAGUGGGGUAAUGUUUGGGCAAAGCUGACUGCAUUUGCACUCCCGCUCCAAAGAUCUGCCCCUAAAGGUGCAUGUUAGUUUACCAUGUCUCCACCGGCAGGCAGUUUCAGUGGAUGGGGACCUGAAGGUAGACGGGGGAUGAUGGAUGGAGAAGUCUCCUGCACAGCCAUAGAUGACAUUGUGUGGCUGGAUGAAGCACGGGGUGAAGGGCUCCUCACAGCUGCAAUGCUUGGGCUUUGAGCCAGGAGGCUGCUCCUUGCCAUCAUGCAGGAGGAUAAUGCUGCCCCAUGGCAGAUACUGGCCUGUGGCCCCUGCUCCUCUGCCAGACACCUCCUGCAGGAUUAUAUAGGGAUGUGCCACCUCCAGCUGCAAUAUCUCCUGGCGGUGCCCUCACCACAGUGUGUGUCCAUCCUUGUUCCAUUGCUCCACUUGCUUCAGGUGAAGCCGCUCAUCCAUCUGAACAAUAUCUUCAACACAUAUAGAUGUGGAGAAAUUCAUUUGGGACACAACAAAUGCUGGUGUAUGUCAAAUCUCUUUGGCUGAAAAUUACUAGGAAAUAAACAGAAACCUGGGCCCCGAUUUUGAGAGAGUAUUUGUGUAUCUUGUACAUUUCCUCCCCUGAACGACAAAAUAUUUUUUCUGUCUUAAAAGUGGUGUUGUUACAGAGAGGAACCUACCAGAAAUUUUAUUUUUUUGGAAAAAAAAAAAACACCCCUUUUUCUGCAGCUCCAAACUGUUUCCUGCUAUAAACUUGAGUGUCUUACUGACUUAUUCCAUCUGAAUAUUUCUUCAGUAUCUGGUGGGUUGAAGUUUAUGGCUUGUGGGUUUUUUUCUCCCAGAAAAUGGUUGUCCAGAACAGAAGUCCCCAAAUGUGAAGUUUCCAGAAUGCAUGGAUAGAUUUUAGAAACCCCAAAGUGGCAGAUUAGCCAGAAGGUUCAAGACCUGCUCCCUUACACCGGCGCCUUCCUAAAGUCAGUGCCAGAGCUGGUGGGGUGCACAGGAUGGAGCUGAAGGUUAUAAAAUGCUACGGUAAGGGUUUAUCUAGGGUUAAGACAGCCACGGGGCUUCAGAUGAGGUUGAGUUUCUCCCAGGGUUUCUGUCUGGAAAUAUGUACUUUGGGAGCUCAGCUGCUCUCCCAACCCACAAAGCAUCCAUGUGGCACUUGUUCAGGAGUGCUGGCCAUGCAAGGCAUCAUGUAGAAUAUAAGUCACAGCAAUGCCUGAAAAACAGCUGUAACUGUUUCAGAAAAUACAGUAACAGCCUCAAAAUGCUAAAUCCUAGUGGGAUUUGCAUGAGUCCUAAAAGCUCACCAGGGAUUUCUGCAGGUUUUCUAUAGCUCACAGGACUUCUGCAUAGGUUAAACAAUCUGCAAUGAAUCUUUCUUUCCUUCCUGUCCCAGUCUCAUGGGGGCUGCCUGAAAAUUCUCCCUAGUAUGUGACUAUCUGCAAGUUAAUCCCAAAGCUCAGGGUCACUUAGAAAAUCUGCAUCGACAAUAGGAGAACAUAUAAAAUCUUCUUGGCCUUGAGGACGUUGUAAGCCCUGCUUCUAUUUGCUUAUAUCAAUUGCAGUCAAGAACAGUAAACAAAAAUAUGCAGUCUGUUUUAAGGGGACAUAACUUUUAUGUAACUGUUUUCAAAGUAAUUUAAUUAAUUCUCACAUAAAAGCAGGAACUUGAAGUCAAAGUUGUAAAUACCUUUCAGGAGGAAAGAUGUAGGAGAAUGAUGUAGUCUCAGGAGACAGGGAAUACAACCUUAGCUCCUCUGUGCACAUGCUUGUGCGUACCUUUGUACUUUUUCCUAUGGGAUGCUCAUUGCUUUCAGUAAGUGGAUAGUUAUUGAGCAUUACUUUUUAUUCCCCUUAUUUAGCACAUCUCCUAAAGCUGUAUAGAAGGCAUAGCAGCUAAAUGCUGCAUUUUAUACCAGAUAGAUGUUAAUGCCGUUUCCAUUUUAACUAGGACCCUUUGGUUGAAUAAUGCAAGCGUAUUCAUUCAGGAUUUACAAAGAACUGUCUAAUCAGGUUGAGCACCUUAUCAUUAUCAUUCCUGUUACUAAGCAAAUACGUUUUCCUCCCUGUCACAGUGUGAAUUUAUUACAAAAACUAUUAUGCUUCUAUUGCUGUAAGGAGUAAUUUUCAAUAGUUUGUCGUACUGAUGUAUAGCUAAGUCUCAUCUAAACUCUUAGCAGCUGCUGGGAAAUCAGAUGCUAUAUUGCUGACAAGUCAACAUAAGGUAUAGUAAGUGGCAAUGAGAGUUGACAUUGUGAUUUAAACACAGCAUCAAUUACUAAAACAAACAAAAUCUUGAAGGAGGCCUGUGUGCUUGAAAGCUUUUUUCCAGCUGUAUCAAUUAGUGCAUUAAAGGAUUUAAUCUUUCUGUCUGUGAUUUUGCCAUACCUGAGAAUAAAGUGGGAUACAAACAAUUGAAGUCAUGGUAAACUGGGUUCUCCUAUAUACUCCAUAAUCUAGAAAUAAGUAGGUGGAUAAGAUAAUGGGAGUUAGUAUCAAGAAUGAAUAAAGGACCUCCCUAGGACUACUAGCUGGUCCUGACUGGUCCUAACAAAAAUAAAAGUUUCAUCAAGUGCCAGGGAAUAAACAAAAAUGGCCAAGGGAUGUUUAUGGGCAGCCUAAGUCUACCUUGCAAGUCAGGCCUGUAAAUCAGGUUAGUCUGUGCCGCUGUGUGACGCCUGCAGUCCAGCACGGACAGCUGGGAAGCUACUUGGAUGGAUACUGUGGGAAGCCUAAGCAAACACUACAAACAUGUUGUUGUAGUCAGGAAGUGUCAGCUCAUAGAAAAUCAAUAGUAAACACUAAUCAGAAUUAAAAUAUUAUAAGGGAAUUUAAAGCAGAAAUAUUGCAUCAUAUUUCAGGUCUAUAAAAUAAACUGUGUCUCAGAUGUACAUCCAUCGUCGUGCUACAGACCCAAGGGACUCCAGCUUGAUCAUGCAGUUAAAAAUCACUCGUGUGCUCUGAAACCACCUAGAUCCAAGCUCUUCUAUCAUGUUUUUAAUUCAGCUCAUGCCAGUUGCCACAGAAAUGAUGAUGGGCAGGAGCAAGGUGCAGAGUGCAUGGCAGGGGCCAGGUCCCGGCUGCAGCCCUUGUGGGGAGCUUGGGGUAAAUCUGCCCCUCCGCAUUGUCAGGACCAUGGCUUAGAUUGGCUUGAUAAAAGCUCCCUGUGGUUGUAACUGUUGUAAUUAUUUCUUUGUCUUCACAUGGUUCCUCUCCUCAGCCCCUCUCAGUAUUUUCUUCACAGCCAUAAGCAGCAGAAGUAUUUUUCAGUUAGUGCUGAAGAUCUAGGCCAUGGUUUGUGGCAAGAAAUGGAAAAUCUCUGUGGUUUUGAAGCACACGAAGUCUUGUGCACGAAAGGCAAUCCACCAUCAAGACCUCUCUCAUUAUAGCCAUUUCCAUAUAAAUCACAGAAUUUGAAUUUCCCAUCUUCGCAUACACUAGUAGCAGUUCUGAGCAUAUCUCAGCUGGUAUUCAUUCAUAGGCAAAAGACAUGAGAGUUUUUUUACAUUAUCUGCCAGUACCUCUGCAGACCUGUGGAGUGCUUCAUCCUUACAAGCUGGGGAGAGCAUAACACCAACAGCACACUUCCUUCCCUACUACCUUGGGUUGGAUAAUAUCAGUAAAUCUGAGAGAAAAUAAAUUUACUUUCAUUACUAAGAGGCUUACAAAAUAAUCUGUUUUUUAAGGGAAGGAGGUGAGAUGGAGAAGCAAAAGGCAAAGUGCUCAGACAUGGGCACUUCAGUUUGUAGUGCGAGAACUGCACUGAACCGCCUAAGUUUACAUGCUGAGGACAGGCUAAAUAAAGGUCUAUGGCAGAGGUUGGAAUAAGAAUCGACUCCUAUGGUGCUUGUUGUCAAUCCCUUUAUUUGCUUGACAUUAUUACAUAUUACUUUUCAUUGAAUUAAGUUAAAAAUGAAAAAAAGUGGUUGAAAUAAUGGGGUCUGUGCAAUCACAUUCUAAAGACUAAUAUAAUUUUACAUUGCAGUACAAAAGAGCCACAGAAGCAGAGAGCACUUGCUUCAAGUGAUUAGUGAUGUUAUUACAGGUGUCUAUGGGUAGGUAUGUGUAUAUUUAGGGUGAUGAGUGGAGAGAUACAAAGAUAACAAGUGUGUGUACUUCAUGCUUAACUUCCUGUACUUUUUUUACUUGGAAUUUCUUGAAAGCCUGUCUCUGUGUAUUUCAUUAUGUUGGAAAGCAAGCGAAAAGCUGACAGGCACUUUGAUGAAGUGUCCGCAGAGCAAAUACUGAGCACCCUGAAAAUCUUGUGGUUGGAUUUUGCUCUUCACAGUUUCAGCCUCCAGCACAGAGCUUGCCUGCCAACUGUGAUUAGGAAAGUGUCAUCAAGCAGGUCUGCCUGGACUCUUCUCCUGCUUCUGCUCUGUGCAGGUUUAGCUGCUUUCAGAGCCAGCACAAUUGAUGUUGCUAUCUCUCCUGAACAAAUUAGUUCACUUCCUUCUUUAAAAUAAACUUGGUACUGCGACAGUGGUAUUGCCAAAUGGCUCGCAGCCUCUACCCCAACUGUCACAGCUUGCAGUACAUACAGAUCGUGAUUUUGCUGCAGGGUUUUGUCCUGUAUCUUGCAGUGGCUCUGGAAAGUCCUGCUGACCUCAGCAGGGAUCAGAUUUGGUGGCACAGUUGCUGUGUGAAGCAAAGGAAGCAGCGGUGGGAUUUAGAAAUGGUACUCAGCCCAUUCUCUGCCACUCACGUCCACUUUGAGGAUGGCAGCCGUCAUUUGGGCUCCUUCAGCAGGAAUGCAAUAACAGGAUUAAUUCCUGUUAAUUGUUGCUUAACUAUUAUGGUUAAGAUUAUUAUUACUUACAACUGUCAUUAGAUCAAAAGUGAAUGUGCUACUCAAAUCCCAUGCAGAGGCUAUUAAAAUGAAGGACAGGACUCAGUCAUCAGUUAUGCUGCGUAAUCUCCCUGGUGCUGACGAGUUCAUACAGGUGUGCACAAAGGCUCCCUGAUUAGAACAGGGAAAAAGAAGGUCUCGCUGUUCCAGGUAACAAUGUGUCAUUUAACCAGACAAAUAUUGAUUGUAUUCUAUUUUAGGGAUUUACCAAGAAAAAAACCCCAAAUGAUGCCUAGGCUUGUUCUUCAAAACUGAAAAUGGGAAAAGAUUGCUGAGCUUUCCUCUUAUUCUUUCCCUUCGUUAGUUGGACUAGUGCAGCAGUCAGUGAUGAAAGGGGUACAAUAGCUGAAUAAAUCUUUAUAGUCACCUCUUCUAAAAUCUUUGGCUUUACAUAGCAAAGUCACUUCCUCUGUGCCAUCUGGAAUCUGUACAAAAAUAGUCCAUAAAAGAACUUUACUUUGCAAUUUAGAGUUGCAUGCACUUUAGAGUACAAGGAAGACAAGUCGUACAGAAUAGUUGCACAGUUGCACAGAGAAUCUGUUUUUAAAGGGCUGUCUUUAAUUUUUAAACACAUCUUUUAACAUCUCCUGGACCACACUGGUAUUUUUUGUCCUUAGAAGCACGGGUUAGCAUUAGAUUGAAUAUAUGAAGAAAUAAGAACAAAUUAAGAUGAUAAUAAAACUUCCAGGAUUUUUGUAGGAAGUCAGUAGGGUCAAGGAGAAGCUUUUGUGCACAGCUGUACAUUCAAUCUGCUGUUACUAUCUCAGAGGUAUGGGGAAGUCUGUGGGUAGGCUCUGCCACUGCUACUCAAGGCCAGGAGUACCCAGUCUCCCAGGCGGCUUUGUCAGUGUAGCUGGAGCAAUGUUGUAUCAACCUUAGUCACUUCAGUUUCAACCCAUUUUCAGAGAGAUGGGUGCCUGGUACUGCCAUUUGAGAUGCUCUCCAGUUUUCUAUAGCAGCUCUUCCCCUAAAUCCUAUGUCCUACCUGCUGGCCCCAGGGAUGUGCUGGGUACCCUAGCCCAUGGAAGCAAACACCUGCAGUUGGGGACACGACCAUGCCUGUGUGCCAGGAGCUGUUUGUGUUCCAACAGAGGAGCUGGAGGAAUGACUCUUCUGGAGACUGCCAGUCUUUUGGAGGAUUAAUGCUAUUUAGGGAGUGUUCCAGAAUAACAGGUCAUCCUGCUCUCUGUGCUCCAACUGAUUGCCACACCAGCAGGCAGAGGCUGCCUGGGUGGAAGGGCUGAGCCAGUCUGGUUGCCACAGAAGGGAAGGGGAGUUUCUACUCUCCUACUGGUCAUGCACUCCCCCUGCCUACCCACCCCUGGCACUCCCCUGACCCUUCCAUCAGCUAAUUCAGCUCACUACAAUGAGUGGCAUUUUAAAUUGUGCAGAUGUUGGGAAAGGGAUAAGAAUUACCUUCCCAUAGGAAGAUACAGAAAUAUACCGCUGUUUCUGAUCCUAUACUCCUUUUCCCAGUCGUUUCCCUCUCCAUUUUCAAGGACAACCCAAAGAAGAGAGGGGACCAUGUGCUCUGAACUAGAAGGCAAAGAUCGGGGACAAAAAUACUCUCCGUGAAGAGAGAAAGGAAACCAAAGGAAAAGAGGAAUUGUUCUUGGGAGAGUGUUAAAGGACUAUAUACAUUCAACUUUGUUACCAUUAAUUUUGUGUAUAGAAACACUUAAUGAAAGAAUAAUUUUCUGU